AGAGUUUGAUCCUGGCUCAGGACGAACGCUGGCGGCGUGCUUAACACAUGCAAGUCGCACGGGGGUUGCAAUACCUUAGUGGCGGACGGGUGCGUAACACGUGAGGAACUUGUCCAUCGGCGGGGGAUAGCCGGCCCAACGGCCGGGUAAUACCGCGUACGUCGGCGAGAUCGCAUGGUCUUGCCGGGAAAGCAGCAAUGCACCGAUGGAGAGCCUCGCGGCCUAUCAGCUUGUUGGCGGGGUAAUGGCCCACCAAGGCGACGACGGGUAGCUGGUCUGAGAGGAUGAUCAGCCACAUUGGGACUGAGACACGGCCCAGACUCCUACGGGAGGCAGCAGUGGGGAAUAUUGCGCAAUGGGCGAAAGCCUGACGCAGCGACGCCGCGUGUGGGAUGAAGGCCUUCGGGUUGUAAACCACUGUCGGGAGGGACGAAGAUCUGA
This 441-nucleotide ribosomal RNA is filed under the name uncultured bacterium. RNAcentral describes it as "bacterial SSU rRNA". It matches the Rfam family "Bacterial small subunit ribosomal RNA", at positions 8 to 456 of the family's 1533-position model. The record is from RNAcentral.